This is a long non-coding RNA of Lepus europaeus (European hare), 365 nucleotides long. RefSeq lists it as uncharacterized. The transcript has 3 exons. Lineage: Eukaryota; Metazoa; Chordata; Mammalia; Lagomorpha; Leporidae. The record is from RefSeq and is a predicted model, not a curated record.
CUGAAGGUCAAGGCUUGGCCUGAGCUGUCCCUGACUUCUUGCCUUGAACAGCUGCAGGAUGUGUCCACGCUUGGGGGAGAGAGGGCAGCCAUAUAAACAAGAGUGUAAGAAACCCCAGAAAUACCCCAAAGUAACAUCAGGAUGGAGAAUCCAGAUGUUCCAUGGAGAAACAAGCUCUCUGCUAUGGCCCGGGAAAGCAGCAGAAGGUGGUCCAAGUCCUUGGGCUCUGGCACCUGCGUGGGAGACCCAGAAGAAGCCGUUGGCUCCUGGCUUUGGAUUGGCCCAGCUCCAGCCAUGUGGCCAUCUGGGGAGUGAACCAGCAGACGGAAGACCUCUCUCUCUCUCCCCUUCCGCCUUCUUGUAAC